Non-coding RNA from Acanthosepion pharaonis, 99 nucleotides. The record is from the annotation of a GenBank genome assembly. Lineage: Eukaryota; Metazoa; Mollusca; Cephalopoda; Sepiida; Sepiidae.
AUUGAAACAUUGGUUCCCAUAUGAUCUCUGAAGUUAAGCAACAUCAAGCCUGGUCAGUACUUAUAUGGAUGGCCGCUUGGGAAUAGCAGGUGCUGUAAG